UCCUUGCAGAAGCUACGUUUUCNAGCCAGA
Molecule: non-coding RNA, 30 nt
Filed under: Rattus norvegicus (Norway rat)
Lineage: Eukaryota; Metazoa; Chordata; Mammalia; Rodentia; Muridae
Source: RNAcentral